UUGUAAUCUGCCAAGUAUGGACUGAAACCUCCACAAACUCUAUGAGCUGAGCAAUGUGCUCACCACACACUCUCCCUCCAUGACAUGCUGCUUCACCAUGGUCCCAAAGCUACUGGGUCAACUGAUCAGGAACUGGAACCUCUAAAACUAGGAGCCAGCCAAAGCCUGCUACCUAGGAACAAGGGUGAGGCUCAGUGCAGGACGGGGCAGAGAGACAUUCACCGUGAA
Chinchilla lanigera (long-tailed chinchilla) is the source of this 228-nucleotide long non-coding RNA. RefSeq lists it as uncharacterized. NCBI's taxonomy places the organism in Eukaryota, Metazoa, Chordata, Mammalia, Rodentia, Chinchillidae. The record is from RefSeq and is a predicted model, not a curated record. The transcript is spliced from 3 exons.